Molecule: unclassified non-coding RNA, 223 nt
Filed under: plant metagenome
Description: partial contains small subunit ribosomal RNA, internal transcribed spacer 1, and 5.8S ribosomal RNA
Source: RNAcentral
AUUCCGUAGGUGAACCUGCGGAAGGAUCAUUAAAGAGAAUAUGCCCUUCGGGGUAGAUCUCCCACCCUUUGUUUAUAUUACCUUUGUUGCUUUGGCAGGCCCGUCUUCGGACCACCGGCUUCGGCUGGUCAGUGCUUGCCAGAGGACCCAAAACUCUUAUUAUUAAUGUCGUCUGAGUACUAUAUAAUAGUUAAAACUUUCAACAACGGAUCUCUUGGUUCCG